Molecule: ribosomal RNA, 375 nt
Filed under: uncultured bacterium
Lineage: Bacteria
Description: bacterial SSU rRNA
Rfam family: Bacterial small subunit ribosomal RNA
Source: RNAcentral
AUACGUAGGGAGCAAGCGUUGUCCGGAAUUACUGGGCGUAAAGGGUGCGUAGGCGGCAUUGCAAGUCAGAUGUGAAAUACCCAGGCUUAACUUGGGGGGUGCAUUUGAAACUGCAGUGCUUGAGUGAAGAAGAGGAAAGCGGAAUUCCUAGUGUAGCGGUGAAAUGCGUAGAUAUUAGGAGGAACACCAGUGGCGAAGGCGGCUUUCUGGUCUUUUACUGACGCUGAGGCACGAAAGCGUGGGGAGCAAACAGGAUUAGGUACCCUGGUAGUCCACGCUGUAAACGAUGGAUACUAGGUGUGGGGGACAUACAACCUCUGUGCCGGAGCAAACGCAUUAAGUAUCCCGCCUGGGGAGUACGGUCGCAAGGCUGAA